This 65-nucleotide transfer RNA is filed under the name Pselaphinae sp. 3 EF-2015. RNAcentral describes it as "tRNA-Asn". The record is from RNAcentral. Lineage: Eukaryota; Metazoa; Arthropoda; Insecta; Coleoptera; Staphylinidae.
UUAAUUGAAACCAAAUUAGAGGUAAAUCAUUGUUAAUGAUAAAAUUGAACUUAGUUCCAAUUAAA